CCGAGGCCGAUAGGCGUAGGUGAUGGAAAGACAGGUUAAUAUUCCUGCACCAUCAUACGGUCGUCGAAGCUAGAGGGGACGGAGAAGGACAGGUCAGCCACCGUGUGGUUGUGGUGGUUCAAGCCGGUAGAUGGGAGUUCUAGGACGCGUAGGCGACAAACGGAGCUCUGCCAACAUCGAGAAGCGAUGAGGAGGCAGCGUCCCUCGGGACGCAGCCGCAACUGACUGAUUCCAUGCUUCCAAGAAAAGCCUCGAGUGGAGACCGUGUGGUGACCGUACCGGAAACCGACACAGGUGGGUGGGGAGAAUAUCCCAAGGCGCUUGAGAGAACCCAGGUUAAGGAACUCGGCAAAUUGACACCGUAACUUCGGGAGAAGGUGUGCCCUCGUUAGGUGAAGCGGCUUGCCCGUGGAGCUGAAGAGGGUUGCAGAGAAAUGGGGGUAGCGAC
Molecule: ribosomal RNA, 448 nt
Filed under: uncultured bacterium
Lineage: Bacteria
Description: bacterial LSU rRNA
Rfam family: Bacterial large subunit ribosomal RNA
Source: RNAcentral